CCUACGGGUGGCAGCAGUGAGGAAUAUUGGUCAAUGGUCGGGAGACUGAACCAGCCAAGCCGCGUGAGGGAUGAAGGUACAGAGUAUCGUAAACCUCUUUUGUCAGGGAACAAAGGCGGGGACGUGUCCCCGGAUGAGUGUACCUGAAGAAAAAGCAUAGGCUAACUCCGUGCCAGCAGCCGCGGUAAUACGGAGGAUGCGAGCGUUAUCCGGAUGUUUUGGGUUUAAAGGGUGGGCAGGCGGUCUGUUAUGUCAGGGGUCAAAGCCCGGGGCCAAACCCCGGCCCGCCGUUGAAACUGGCAGCCUCGAGUGGGAGAGAAGUAUGCGGAAUGCGCGGUGUAGCGGUGAAAUGCAUAGAUAUCGCGAAGAACUCCGAUUGCGAAGGCAGCAGGCCGGCUCCACACUGACGCUGAGGCACGAAAGCGUGGGUAUCGAACAGGAUUAGAUACCCCUGUAGUC
Molecule: ribosomal RNA, 459 nt
Filed under: uncultured bacterium
Lineage: Bacteria
Description: partial 16S ribosomal RNA
Rfam family: Bacterial small subunit ribosomal RNA
Source: RNAcentral